This 501-nucleotide ribosomal RNA is filed under the name uncultured bacterium. RNAcentral's name for it is "partial 16S ribosomal RNA". It matches the Rfam family "Bacterial small subunit ribosomal RNA", at positions 30 to 523 of the family's 1533-position model. The record is from RNAcentral.
AUUGAACGCUGGCGGCGUGCCUAACACAUGCAAGUCGAGCGGUAACAGGUGUAGCAAUACAUGCUGACGAGCUGCGAACGGGUGAGUAAUGCUUCGGAAUCUACCUUAUGGUGGGGAAUAACUAGCCGAAAGGUUAGCUAAUACCGCAUACGUCCUACGGGAGAAAGCAGGGGAUCGCAAGACCUUGCGCCAAAAGAUGAGCCGAAGUCGGAUUAGCUAGUUGGUAGGGUAACGGCCUACCAAGGCGACGAUCCGUAGCUGGUAUGAGAGGACGACCAGCCACACUGGGACUGAGACACGGCCCAGACUCCUACGGGAGGCAGCAGUGGGGAAUAUUGGACAAGGGGGGAACCCUGAUCCAGCGACGCCGCGUGUGUGAAGUAGGCCUGCGGGUUGUAAAGCACUUUUAGUGGGGAUGAAAUGUGCAGGGUUAAUACCUCUGCAUUUUGACCUAGCCCACAGAAAAAGCACCGGCUAACUCUGUGCCAGCCGCCGCCGUAA